AUUGAACGCUGGCGGCAGGCCUAACACAUGCAAGUCGAGCGGAUGAAGAGAGCUUGCUCUCUGAUUCAGCGGCGGACGGGUGAGUAAUGCCUAGGAAUCUGCCUGGUAGUGGGGGACAACGUUUCGAAAGGAACGCUAAUACCGCAUACGUCCUACGGGAGAAAGUGGGGGAUCUUCGGACCUCACGCUAUCAGAUGAGCCUAGGUACGAUUAGCUAGUUGGUGAGGUAAAGGCUCAACAAGGCGACGAUCGUUAACUGGUCUGAGAGGAUGAUCAGUCAGACUGGGACUGAGACACGGUCCAGACUCCUACGGGAGGCAGCAGUGGGGAAUAUUGGACAAUGGGCGAAAGCCUGAUCCAGCCAUGCCGCGUGGGUGAAGAAGGUCUUCGGAUUGUAAAGCACUUUAAGUUGGGAGGAAGGGCAGUAAGUUAAUACCUUGCUGUUUUGACGUUACCGACAGAAUAAGCACCGGCUAACUUCGUGCCAGCCGCCGUAACAC
RNAcentral lists this ribosomal RNA (500 nucleotides) under uncultured bacterium. RNAcentral describes it as "partial 16S ribosomal RNA". It matches the Rfam family "Bacterial small subunit ribosomal RNA", at positions 30 to 526 of the family's 1533-position model. The record is from RNAcentral.